UUUGACACACUGUACCCCUC
RNAcentral lists this unclassified non-coding RNA (20 nucleotides) under Mus musculus (house mouse). Its description in RNAcentral is "oocyte_clustered_small_RNA10481". Lineage: Eukaryota; Metazoa; Chordata; Mammalia; Rodentia; Muridae. The record is from RNAcentral.